CAAUUUCAUUGUAUUUUUUAUUCGGUACAUGGUAAUUUAACCGCAAAAUUAUUUUUUCUGUGCAUUACGUCAUCACGGACAUUUAUUUUAAUCCGCAAAAAGUAAAUGUAAUGCAAACAACUCUGGUGGGAAAAUGGAGCAUAUUGUUUGUAUGCAGAUUUGGAUGGAAACCAAGCCAUUGACAUACUUGUUAGAUUACACAGGCUUUGCCAGGAGUCCACACCACACACACGAAUAAUGGUAACACCUUCAGCAUUCUGCAUGUGCCUGCAACACCACAGACGGCCAGCAGAUAUAACCCUUGCUUGACUUCCAUCAAUAAAACUAAGGCCAAGAAAGAAUUUGUAAUUUCUCAAAUGUUUCCCAAAUUGCACCUAAGGUUUUGAUUAUUAGAGUCUGUAAAUGUCAGAUUCAAAUUUAAUAAGUAGCCACAUUUUUUAAAUGUAAAUUCAAAGCAGAUGUAUUUAACAGUUUGUCACUCCUCUGAAGGGAGGGACUGUAUGACUGAUCUUUAGUAGUGGCAAUGGUUAUUAAUGGAACUGAUUAUUCCAGUGAAUUCUAAACAAUUUGAGUCAAUGGGUCUGUUUGGCUGCAAGGCUGGUGUCAGUCUGGGAACACCCACUGUCUCUUUCCAGCUCCCCUCCCUCUCCUCAUCUCUCUAUCCAACAUCAGUCUGAGCUCCACACCUCCUCAGGACAGACCUGCAGUACACCCAGAAUUCUGUGAGGUCUCAUCAGAUCUGGAUUUUCCUCAUUGCCAUCUGAUCAAGAUCCAACAGGUUCUGGGUAUAAAGGCUCAUCACAUCAGUUUACUGGAUCCACAAGCACAUCUACCUACAAUUUGAUACUUUCUCAUUCUAAACUGAGUUGAAGGGGAUCUCUCCAUACCAGGCCAUGCGGGUGAGCCGGGUGUUACAGCUGUCCGUCUGCCUGGUGGGCCUCAGCCUGGCAUGGCACUCCCCAUCACCAGGUAAACCCUCCAUAGAGGCCAGGUUCCUGUGGCCCAGAUACAGGUGCUUUCUGUGGGGCUGCUCCAAAUGCUCCAGGGGGUGCAGGAGAGUGCCUGGAGGAUGGAGAGGCAGGGUGACCAAGUGUCAGAGGAGCUGGUGGGAGACACCCAGGCUGUGGAGAGGUUACGAGAGCAAGGUGUGCAGGUAGGAAGGACCCAAAGGCAGGUGACGAAGAACCUCCAGAUGAUGACCGCACAGAGCGACAGGCUGGAGAAUGCAGCCCAGGAUGUGCAGCUGGGACUGGAGACUUUAUUGGCCGAGCAAGGUGCCUUGGAGCUCAGGAUGUGCCGUGUCCUGGAGAGGGUGCAGAGCAUAACCAAGCCAGUUCUAAGGAUGGAAAAACAGCUUAAUAUGAACCUGAUGAAGGCGUCUCGUAUCAGAGGGGAGAGGCCUCCCACCAGCGCUGAGGGCCGAUUCUGAUGAUGGCUCUGGCCCUUGUCUGGGCAACAACCACAGCUGCAUCAACAUAAACACUCCAUUCAAAACAACAAGAAAACAACAUAGUUAUAGUCGAAAUCUGAGAAAGAAAGAAACAUAGCAUUAUUCAUACAAUAUUCAAGCUUAAUUUCUUCAUCCAGAUACUAUGAGAUGAUCUGAUUGGGAUUUUAAAAGGUAGACAUCCUUGUUGGGUAAUCUCCAAAGUGUUGUGGCUCUGUGUUAAUGUUUAAGGUUGAUAUUUGGAAGCCUUGUAUUGCAAUCCCUUGUCAGCUGGUGCCUCUAGGGCAAUUCAGGCAGAUGUUAGAGGGACCUUUUACUGAAGAAUGUGUUUGUUUCAUACAAUUGUGUUUUGCUUUUGUUGUUUUGUUUUCAUGCAUUGUGUAAUUGAUGUGUAUAGAUAUCCAUAGUGUAAUGGUUGUUUAUUGAAGUGUUCAUGCAGGGCUCAUCUACAAAAGAGACCUUGGUCUCAGCAUGACUCAAUGCUUAAAACUGCAAUAUGUAACUUUUUGGGAAACCCCACCAAAUUGACAUAGACAUAUGUGUUAUAGAUCUGUCAUUUGCAUUGAAAGCAAGUCUAAGAAGCCGUAGAUCUUUUCUAUGAGCACUAUUUCUAUGCUACCUGUGCUUAAGUUUUGUUUUUGCGUCUUUUACUUUUGCUUUUGUACACCAGCUUCAAAUAGCUGAAAAUACAAUAUUUUGGGCUAUGGAAAAAUAUAUUUUACACUGAUUUAGAUGGUACAGUGAUUCUCUACACUAUAUUGCUUGUUUUGCCACAUAAACUGAAAUUAGGCAAACUAAUAGAAUUUUAGCAACCAGUACAUUUCUGCAUAGUGCAUCUUUAAAUAAAGGCAAACCUUUUUUAAAUAAAUGCAACCACAACCAAAUAAACAGACUCAAGGUAAUGGACUGGAUCAGACUGGCUGGAAAAAGAAUAUUCCUGACAACUUUGGCUGAUUGGAUAAUUUAUUUAUUUAUUUCACCUUUAUUCAACCAGGUAGGCUAGUUGAGAACAAGUUGUCAUUUACAACUGCGACCUGGCCAAGAUAAAGCAAAGCAGUGCGACACAAACAACAGCCCAGAGUUACACAUGGAAUAAACAAACAUACAGUCAAUAAUACAAUAGGGAAAGUCUAUAUACAGUGUGUGCAAAUGAGGUAGGAUAAGGGGGGUGAGGCAAUAAAUAGGCCAUAGUGGCAAAAUUACUACGGUAUGGCAAAUUAAACACUGGGGUGAUAGAUGUGCAGAAGAUAAGUGUGCAAGUAGCGGUACUGGGGUGCAAAGGAGCAAAAUAAAUAACAUAAAUAACAAUAUGGUGAUGAGGUAGUUGGAUAGGCUAUUUACAGAUUGGCUAUGUACAGGUGCAGUGAUCUGUGAGCUGCUCUGACAGCUGGUGCUUAAAGCUAGUGAGGGAGAUAUGAGUCUCCAGCUUCAGAGAUUUUUACAGUUCAUUCCAGUCAUUGGCAGCAGAGAACUGGAAGGAAAGGCGGCUGAAGGAGGAAUUGGCUUUGGGGGUGACCAGUGAACUAUACCUGCUGGAGCGCGUACUGUGGGUGGGUGCUUCUAUGGUGACCAGUGAGCUGAGAUAAGGUGGGGCUUUACCUGGCAACGACUUAUAGAUGACCUGGAGCCAGUGGGUUUGGCGACGGAUAUGAAGCGAGGGCCAGCCAACGAAAGCAUACAGGUCGCAGUGGUGGGUAGUAUAUGGGGCUUUGGUGAUAAAACAGAUGGCACUGUGAUAGACUGCAUCCAAUUUGCUGAGUAGAAUGUUGGAGGCUAUUUUGUAAAUGACAUCACCAAAGUCAAGGAUCGGUAGGAUAGUCAGUUUUACGAGGGUGUGUUUGGCAGCAUGAGUGAAGGAUGCUUUGUUGCGAAAUAGGAAGCCGAUUAUAGAUUUGAUUUUGGAUUGGAGAUGCUUAAUGUGAGUCUGGAAGGAGAGUUUACAGUCUAACCAGACACCCAGGUAUUUGUAGUUGUCCACAUAUUCUAAGUCAGAACCAUCCAGAGUAGUGAUGCUGGACGGGUGGGUAGGUAUGGGCAGCGAUCGGUUGAAGAGCAUGCAUUUAGUUUUGCUUGCCUUUAAGAGCAGUUGGAGGCCACGGAAGGAGAGUUGUAUGGCAUUGAAGCUCGUCUGGAGGUUAGUUAACACAGUGUCCAAAGAAGGGCCAGAAGUAUACAGAAUGGUGUCGUCUGCGUAGAGGUGGAUCAGAGAAUCACCAGCAGCAAGAGCGACAUCAUUGAUGUAUACAGAGAAAAGAGUCGGCCCGAGGAUUGAACCCUGUGGCAACCCCAUAGAGACCGCCAGAGGUCCGGACAACAGGCCCUCCGAUUUGACACACUGAACUCUGUCUGAGAAGUAGUUGGUGAACCAGGCGAGGCAGUCAUUUGAGAAACCAAGGCUGUUGAGUCUGCCGAUAAGAAUGUGGUGAUUGAAAGAGUCAAAAUCCUUGGCCAGGUCUAUGAAUACAGCUGCACAGUAUUGUCUCUUAUCGAUGGUGGUUAUGAUAUCAUUUAGGACCUUGAGCGUGGCUGAGGUGCACCCGUGACCAGCUCUGAAUAGCGGAGAAGAUACGGUGGGAUUCGAAAUGGUCGGUGAUCUGUUUAUUAACUUGGCUUUCGAAAACCUUAGAAAGGCAGGGUUCGAUAGAUAAUUCUCCUUGAACCUACAAAAAAAGGCUCUGUGGCUGUAUUCUAGAGGUACAGGAGUCGUCCUCCCGCCCAAAACAGGAGAUUCACAUCUUCUCAGCUGUCCGACAACCAAAGGUUGUGUGUGAAAGCUUUGAGGACUGAGGUCCUAUCUGAUGGCCUCAAGUCUGUGAGAUCUAAAUGCAGGAUUGCUGUCUGACUGGUGUUCCCAAACAAACCCAGCCAGAGCAACAAACUCUGACCCAACAUGACAAAGAGAAUAUACAGUAAUGUUCCUGUAAAUCUAUUUGAUACAUUUUAUCGAUUUAGCAGACGCUCUUAUCCAGAGCGACCUACAGGAGCAAUUAGGGUUAGGUACUUUGCUCAAGGCCGCAUCGACUGAUUUGUUUCACCUAGUUGGCUUGGGGAUUCGAAGCAACGACUUUUCGGCCCAACACUCUUACCCGCUAGCUACCAGGCGCCCCACUGACAUAAUCCAACAGGUCUUUACUCUUUAAUUCAUAUACAUUUCAUUUCAGUCAACCUAUGUUACCAGACAUGUCUAUUGAAGAUGGAAGACCAAAGCAUAUUGAGUGUACAAUUUCAUUGUCACACACAAUAUGUUCAGUUUUAGGUAUGAUCUUUGUCGUGUUGUGUAGAGUAUGAUGAUGAGCUUCAGAGUACAGUAGGUCUAGGCUAUCAUGAUUCUGAACUACACUGAACAAAAUAUAAAUGCAACAUGUAACGUGUAUGUUUCAACAUGCAACAUGUAUGUUUCAUGAACUGAAAUAAAAGAUCCCUGAAUUUUUCUGUAUGCA
This 4887-nucleotide long non-coding RNA is filed under the name Salmo salar (Atlantic salmon). Its description in RNAcentral is "lncRNA (ENSSSAG00000090483.1, ENSSSAG00000106080.1)". Lineage: Eukaryota; Metazoa; Chordata; Actinopteri; Salmoniformes; Salmonidae. The record is from RNAcentral.